AUACGGAGGGUGCGAGCGUUAAUCGGAAUUACUGGGCGUAAAGGGUGCGUAGGUUGUUUGAUAAGUUAUCUGUAAAAUCCCCGGGCUUAACCUGGGCAGGUCAGAUAAGACUGUUGGACUUGAGUACAGGAGAGGGCAGUGGAAUUUCCGGUGUAGCGGUGAAAUGCGUAGAGAUCGGAAGGAACACCAGUGGCGAAGGCAGCCCCCUGGGAUGACACUGACGCUCAUGUACGAAAGCGUGGGUAGC
Molecule: ribosomal RNA, 247 nt
Filed under: uncultured bacterium
Lineage: Bacteria
Description: partial 16S ribosomal RNA
Rfam family: Bacterial small subunit ribosomal RNA
Source: RNAcentral